AAUAGAUACCCAGGUAGUCCACGCCGUAAACGAUGAGUGCUAAGUGUUAGAGGGUUUCCGCCCUUUAGUGCUGCAGCUAACGCAUUAAGCACUCCGCCUGGGGAGUACGGCCGCAAGGCUGAAACUCAAAGGAAUUGACGGGGGCCCGCACAAGCGGUGGAGCAUGUGGUUUAAUUCGAAGCAACGCGAAGAACCUUACCAGGUCUUGACAUCCUCUUGACCUCCCUAGAGAUAGGGGAUUUCCCUUCGGGGACAGGAGUGACAGGUGGUGCAUGGUUGUCGUCAGCUCGUGUCGUGAGAUGUUGGGUUAAGUCCCGCAACGAGCACAACCCUUGACCUUAGUUGCCAGCAUUCAGUUGGGCACUCUAAGGUGACUGCCGGUGACAAACCGGAGGAAGGUGGGAUGACGUCAAUCAUCAUGCCCCUUAUGACCUGGGCUACACACGUGCUACAAUGGAUGGUACAAAGGGCAGCAAGACCGCGAGGUUUAGCCAAUCCCAUAAAACCAUUCUCAGUUCGGAUUGUAGGCUGCUAACC
This 537-nucleotide ribosomal RNA is filed under the name uncultured bacterium. RNAcentral describes it as "bacterial SSU rRNA". It matches the Rfam family "Bacterial small subunit ribosomal RNA", at positions 777 to 1313 of the family's 1533-position model. The record is from RNAcentral.